RNAcentral lists this ribosomal RNA (394 nucleotides) under Taenia hydatigena. RNAcentral describes it as "partial 12S ribosomal RNA". The record is from RNAcentral. Lineage: Eukaryota; Metazoa; Platyhelminthes; Cestoda; Cyclophyllidea; Taeniidae.
UUUUUUAUAGACUGGAUUUAUAUAUUUAUAACUAAAAUUAGGUUAAAUUUUUUUUUUAUAGAGUUAAAUAUUUAGAUUGAUGAAAGAUGUAUAAUAGUGACAGGGAUUAGAUACCCCAUUAAUGUACAUUGUAGCUUUGUCUUAGUUAAUAUAACUAAAAUAAUUUGGCAGUGAGCGACUCUUUUUAGGGGAAGGGGUGGUGUAAAGGAUGUUCCGCCAAAUAAUUUACUUUCGUUAUGUUGGUGUAUAUCUGGUUUAAUAUUAUCGUUGAGUAAGUGAGUUUGUGUAGUUUUAUUUAAGCCAAGUCUAUGUGCUGCUUAUGAAAGUAUUCAUGCGUUACAUUUAUAAGGUUUUGGUUGUAAUACUAAAAUAUUUAGGACUUAAAAGUAAUGUU